Molecule: unclassified non-coding RNA, 368 nt
Filed under: Hevea brasiliensis (rubber tree)
Lineage: Eukaryota; Viridiplantae; Streptophyta; Magnoliopsida; Malpighiales; Euphorbiaceae
Source: RNAcentral
AAAAAAAAAAGGGUCCUCACGCCUCUCGUUAUCUUUCCCUGUACAACGACAUAACGCAGGGCACAGAUAAAACCUAGUUUCAGAGCACAUCGAGCAGGAAGCUACAACUAUUUUCCAUCAUUAGCGCGCGACAUUGAUUUGCUGCUUUAAAAUCAUAAGAGCUUGCGAAACUUGAAGCAGGCUUGCUACAUAAACUGUGGGCAUGUCUACUGCACUGACACCUUCUAAGAGACCACAUGAUUGGAACGCUAGUGAGACAAAUGGGAAAGGAAAGUGGCAAAAGACAGCUGGCCUUAAUUCCCCCAAUCUAUCCUUGAAAUCCUUGAAUGGUGUAGUUUUCCGAAUACUCUGUCCUGCUUCCAAAACAG